RNAcentral lists this ribosomal RNA (260 nucleotides) under uncultured bacterium. Its description in RNAcentral is "partial 16S ribosomal RNA". It matches the Rfam family "Bacterial small subunit ribosomal RNA", at positions 95 to 353 of the family's 1533-position model. The record is from RNAcentral.
GCGGCGGACGGGUGAGUAACGCGUAGGCAACCUGCCUUAUGCAGAGGGAUAGCCAUUGGAAACGAUGAUUAAAACCUCAUAACGCCGGAGAGUCACAGGGUUUUCCGGCCAAAGAUUUAUCGGCAUAAGAUGGGCCUGCGUCUGAUUAGUUAGUUGGUGGGGUAACGGCCUACCAAGGCGACGAUCAGUAGCCGACCUGAGAGGGUGAUCGGCCACAUUGGAACUGAGACACGGUCCAAACUCCUACGGGAGGCAGCAUG